This 163-nucleotide non-coding RNA is filed under the name Symbiodinium sp. CCMP2430. The record is from RNAcentral. Lineage: Eukaryota; Dinophyceae; Suessiales; Symbiodiniaceae.
UCUUAUUUUGCUUACUUUCAGUUCCUUCUUCUCUUCAUUUCUAUUCAAUUACAAUGAAAGAAAGAAGUGAUGAGUUUAAUUGAAUAGAAAAUGGAAGUGAGAGAAGUGAACGCUUUCUUCUUUCAUUCCCUUUAAUGUGAGAAAGGAACAAGGUGAAAGAAUA